This 400-nucleotide ribosomal RNA is filed under the name uncultured bacterium. RNAcentral's name for it is "bacterial SSU rRNA". It matches the Rfam family "Bacterial small subunit ribosomal RNA", at positions 355 to 747 of the family's 1533-position model. The record is from RNAcentral.
UGGGGAAUUUUGGACAAUGGGCGCAAGCCUGAUCCAGCCAUGCCGCGUGAGUGAAGAAGGCCUUCGGGUUGUAAAGCUCCUUCGGCUGGGAAGAAAACGCAUGGGUUAAUACCUCAUGUGGAUGACGGUACCAGCACAAGAAGCACCGGCUAACUACGUGCCAGCAGCCGCGGUAAUACGUAGGGUGCGAGCGUUAAUCGGAAUUACUGGGCGUAAAGCGUGCGCAGGCGGUUUAGUAAGACAGGCGUGAAAUCCCCGGGCUCAACCUGGGAACUGCGCUUGUGACUGCUAAGCUAGAGUAUGGAAGAGGGGGGUGGAAUUCCACGUGUAGCAGUGAAAUGCGUAGAGAUGUGGAGGAACACCGAUGGCGAAGGCAGCCCCCUGGGCCAAUACUGACGCU